ACAUGCUAGGGAAGCACUCCACCAACUG
Molecule: non-coding RNA, 28 nt
Filed under: Rattus norvegicus (Norway rat)
Lineage: Eukaryota; Metazoa; Chordata; Mammalia; Rodentia; Muridae
Source: RNAcentral